RNAcentral lists this ribosomal RNA (251 nucleotides) under uncultured bacterium. Its description in RNAcentral is "partial 16S ribosomal RNA". It matches the Rfam family "Bacterial small subunit ribosomal RNA", at positions 524 to 774 of the family's 1533-position model. The record is from RNAcentral.
UACGUAUGGUGCAAGCGUUAUCCGGAUUUACUGGGUGUAAAGGGAGCGCAGGCGGCGCGGCAAGUCCGGUGUGAAAGCCCGGGGCUCAACCCCGGUACUGCACUGGAAACUGUCGUGCUUGAGUGUCGGAGGGGCAGGCGGAAUUCCUGGUGUAGCGGUGAAAUGCGUAGAUAUCAGGAGGAACACCGGUGGCGAAGGCGGCCUGCUGGACGACAACUGACGCUGAGGCUCGAAAGCGUGGGGAGCAAACA